Molecule: long non-coding RNA, 860 nt
Organism: Gymnodraco acuticeps
Lineage: Eukaryota; Metazoa; Chordata; Actinopteri; Perciformes; Bathydraconidae
Exons: 2
Source: RefSeq, a predicted model, not a curated record
GAAGGUUUUUAGCAAGUUCUAGCCAAAAUGUUAAAAUACAAGAAAUGCAUCUCAUUACCCACUUCAUGGUGUUGUACAUCUCCUCCGUCUCCCUUUCCGUCAGGGUCUUCUUCAGGGUGCCCAGGAAGAAUGGGUUCGGGUGCUUCAUCCUGGGAAUCUGAUGACAAAGCAUUUUUACCCUGUGACCCUCCGGACCCCAGGGAGUCCCGACGGCCCCCCAGCUUUCUCCCCGAGUCCGGUGUAGAGUGUGGACUGAGGCCUGGAGCCAGUGAUGUCCCAGCAUCCAUCUGGCCCUCGCUGCCGCUGUCCGAUUGGCUCCUCUGAGGGCUGCUCCGCCGGGCCCUCUCUCCGAACAGGCUGCGGCCCCUCGACCCCCCCGAGGAGCCUCUGACGGCCCCCGCCAGCUUACUGAAGACGGGGGAGGACGAGGCGAGGCUGUCCAGGCGGUCGCGGGCCGCGGGGAGGAACCAGUCGGCACAGGACAGGCAGGGGGCCGGGGGGGGCGUUCAGGCGCUCCUCAACACCAGCCUGCAACACCUCCAGCUGCAGCAGGGUGGCCUUCACCUGGGCUCAGAGAGGAGUGGCACUUUAUAGGCUUUUCCUUUUUUCAGCAGGAUGAGUGAGGAGGGUACAAGGACAUCACAUUCAAGAUGUCAUGACACCAAGAAAUUAACUGGCAACACAAUUUGACUUAAAUGAAAUAGUAGCAAUUAAUACGUCAUCCCCACUCAUAAACGAACACUGACCCAAACCUCCCUUCCCCCCUCCGAACUAACACAAACUUGAUAUGCUUUUUCAUCCAUAUUAGUUCUUAAUCUUAGUGUUUGGUUUGCAUUCAAAUAAAAACCUUGAAAAAUGAA